RNAcentral lists this ribosomal RNA (479 nucleotides) under uncultured bacterium. RNAcentral's name for it is "bacterial SSU rRNA". It matches the Rfam family "Bacterial small subunit ribosomal RNA", at positions 19 to 518 of the family's 1533-position model. The record is from RNAcentral.
CUGGCUCAGGACGAACGCUGGCGGCGUGCCUAACACAUGCAAGUCGAGCGAUGAACCCUUCGGGUGGAUAGCGGCGGACGGGUGAGUAACACGUGGGUAACCUGCCUCAAAGAGGGGGAUAGCCUCCCGAAAGGGAGAUUAAUACCGCAUAACAUUAUUUCUUCGCAUGAAGAGAUAAUCAAAGGAGUAAUCCGCUUUGAGAUGGACCCGCGGCGCAUUAGCUAGUUGGUGAGGUAAUGGCUCACCAAGGCGACGAUGCGUAGCCGACCUGAGAGGGUGAUCGGCCACAUUGGAACUGAGAUACGGUCCAGACUCCUACGGGAGGCAGCAGUGGGGAAUAUUGCGCAAUGGGGGAAACCCUGAACCGCAGCAACGCCGCGUGGGUGAAGAAGGCCUUCGGGUUGUAAAGCUCUGUCUUCUGGGACGAUAAUGACGGUACCAGAGGAGGAAGCCACGGCUAACUACGUGCCAGCCGCCGC